GGCUAAAUUCAGCUAGCGCCGAACCCGCC
Molecule: small RNA, 29 nt
Filed under: Bombyx mori (domestic silkworm)
Lineage: Eukaryota; Metazoa; Arthropoda; Insecta; Lepidoptera; Bombycidae
Description: ovarian small RNA-17450
Source: RNAcentral